CCUACGGGGGGCGGCAGUGGGGAAUUUUGCGCAAUGGGCGAAAGCCUGACGCAGCAACGCCGCGUGCGGGAUGAAGGCCCUCGGGUCGUAAACCGCUUUCAGCAGGGACGAAAAUGACUGUACCUGCAGAAGAAGCCCCGGCUAAAUACGUGCCAGCAGCCCCGGUC
This 167-nucleotide ribosomal RNA is filed under the name uncultured bacterium. Its description in RNAcentral is "partial 16S rRNA". It matches the Rfam family "Bacterial small subunit ribosomal RNA", at positions 338 to 522 of the family's 1533-position model. The record is from RNAcentral.